RNAcentral lists this ribosomal RNA (310 nucleotides) under Lysinibacillus xylanilyticus. RNAcentral describes it as "bacterial LSU rRNA". It matches the Rfam family "Bacterial large subunit ribosomal RNA", at positions 2162 to 2471 of the family's 2925-position model. The record is from RNAcentral. Lineage: Bacteria; Bacillati; Bacillota; Bacilli; Caryophanales; Bacillaceae.
CUCGGAGCGCCAGCUUCGAAGGAGGCGUCGGUGGGAUACUACCCUGGUUGUAUUGAAAUUCUAACCCAUGCCCCUUAGCGGGGCAGGAGACAGUGUCAGGCGGACAGUUUGACUGGGGCGGUCGCCUCCUAAAAGGUAACGGAGGCGCCCAAAGGUUCCCUCAGAAUGGUUGGAAAUCAUUCGGAGAGUGUAAAGGCACAAGGGAGCUUGACUGCGAGACCUACAAGUCGAGCAGGGUCGAAAGACGGGCUUAGUGAUCCGGUGGUUCCGCAUGGAAGGGCCAUCGCUCAACGGAUAAAAGCUACCCCGG